CGCAGCCAGUGAUUCAGGUGUCUCCCUUAAAGGGGUACAUCCAUUUUCACCCCGGCAGCCCCCUGACAUGAGCAUCGGAGCAGUUCAUGCUCCGAUGCUCUCCUUUGCCCUACGCUAAAUUGCGCAGGGCAAAGGCAUUUUUAGGAGAUCC
Long non-coding RNA from Bufo bufo (common toad), 151 nucleotides. RefSeq lists it as uncharacterized. The record is from RefSeq and is a predicted model, not a curated record. NCBI's taxonomy places the organism in Eukaryota, Metazoa, Chordata, Amphibia, Anura, Bufonidae. The transcript is spliced from 3 exons.